UACGUAGGGUGCAAGCGUUAAUCGGAAUUACUGGGCGUAAAGCGUGCGCAGGCGGUUUUGUAAGUCUGUCGUGAAAUCCCCGGGCUCAACCUGGGAAUUGCGAUGGAGACUGCAAGGCUAGAAUCUGGCAGAGGGGGGUAGAAUUCCACGUGUGAGCAGUGAAAUGCGUAGAGAUGUGGAGGAACACCGAUGGCGAAGGCAAUCCCCUGGACCUGUACUGACGCUCAUGCACGAAAGCGUGGGGAGCAAACAGG
This 254-nucleotide ribosomal RNA is filed under the name uncultured bacterium. Its description in RNAcentral is "partial 16S ribosomal RNA". It matches the Rfam family "Bacterial small subunit ribosomal RNA", at positions 524 to 776 of the family's 1533-position model. The record is from RNAcentral.